GAUGAACGCUGGCGGCGUGCCUAAUACAUGCAAGUCGAGCGAACAGAUAAGGAGCUUGCUCCUUUGACGUUAGCGGCGGACGGGUGAGUAACACGUGGGUAACCUACCUAUAAGACUGGGAUAACUUCGGGAAACCGGAGCUAAUACCGGAUAACAUCUGGAACCGCAUGGUUCUAAAGUGAAAGAUGGUUUUGCUAUCACUUAUAGAUGGACCCGCGCCGUAUUAGCUAGUUGGUAAGGUAACGGCUUACCAAGGCGACGAUACGUAGCCGACCUGAGAGGGUGAUCGGCCACACUGGAACUGAGACACGGUCCAGACUCCUACGGGAGGCAGCAGUAGGGAAUCUUCCGCAAUGGGCGAAAGCCUGACGGAGCAACGCCGCGUGAGUGAUGAAGGGUUUCGGCUCGUAAAACUCUGUUAUUAGGGAAGAACAAAUGUGUAAGUAACUGUGCACGUCUUGACGGUACCUAAUCAGAAAGCCACGGCUAACUACGUG
Molecule: ribosomal RNA, 497 nt
Filed under: uncultured bacterium
Lineage: Bacteria
Description: partial 16S ribosomal RNA
Rfam family: Bacterial small subunit ribosomal RNA
Source: RNAcentral